UGGAGCAUGUGGUUUAAUUCGAAGCAACGCGCAGAACCUUACCAGCCUUUGACAUCCUAGGACGACUUCUGGAGACAGAUUUUCUUCCCCUUCGGGGACCUAGUGACAGGUGCUGCAUGGCUGUCGUCAGCUCGUGUCGUGAGAUGUUGGGUUAAGUCCCGCAACGAGCGCAACCCUCGUCCUUAGUUGCCAUCAUUAAGUUGGGCACUUUAAGGAAACUGCCGGUGAUAAGCCGGAGGAAGGUGGGGAUGACGUCAAGUCCUCAUGGCCCUUACAGGCUGGGCUACACACGUGCUACAAUGGCAUCUACAGUGGGCAGCUAUCCCGCAAGGGUGCGCUAAUCUCCAAAAGAUGUCUCAGUUCGGAUUGUCCUCUGCAACUCGAGGGCAUGAAGGCGGAAUCGCUAGUAAUCGCGGAUCAGCAUGCCGCGGUGAAUACGUUCCCAGGCCUU
Molecule: ribosomal RNA, 451 nt
Filed under: uncultured Porphyrobacter sp.
Lineage: Bacteria; Pseudomonadati; Pseudomonadota; Alphaproteobacteria; Sphingomonadales; Erythrobacteraceae
Description: bacterial SSU rRNA
Rfam family: Bacterial small subunit ribosomal RNA
Source: RNAcentral